GAGGGGUAACAUGAGGAAGCUUGCUUUCUUGAUGACGACCAGCGAACGGGUGCGUAACACGUAUGGAACCUACCUUAUACAGGGGCAUAGCCCAGAGAAAUCUGGAUUAAUUUCCCAUAAUAUCUAAAAGUGGCAUCACUUUUAAAUUAAAGCUUCGGCGGUAUAAGAUGGCCAUGCGGCCCAUUAGUUAGUUGGUGAGGUAACGGCUCACCAAGACCAUGAUGGGUAGGGGUUCUGAGAGGAUUAUCCCCCACACUGGUACUGAGACACGGACCAGACUCCUACGGGAGGCAGCAGUGAGGAAUAUUGCGCAAUGGACGAAAGUCUGACGCAGCCAUGCCGCGUGCAGGAUGACAGCCCUAUGGGUCGUAAACUGCUUUUAUAUGGGAAGAAACCCUUUCACGUGUGAAGGCUGACGGUACCAUAUGAAUAAGCACCG
RNAcentral lists this ribosomal RNA (439 nucleotides) under uncultured bacterium. RNAcentral's name for it is "bacterial SSU rRNA". It matches the Rfam family "Bacterial small subunit ribosomal RNA", at positions 64 to 495 of the family's 1533-position model. The record is from RNAcentral.